Long non-coding RNA from Ictalurus punctatus (channel catfish), 1418 nucleotides. The record is from Ensembl. NCBI's taxonomy places the organism in Eukaryota, Metazoa, Chordata, Actinopteri, Siluriformes, Ictaluridae.
ACUGUCUACUGUCAGCUUUUCCCAUUCUCUGAACAGGCAUUCUGUCUUUCAGCUGAAUGACUUUAGCUCUCUAGCUAGAGGUUUGGAGCCUGACAGUUUACUAUCUAGCACAGGACAGAUGCAUGUGUCCGAUCUUUGUGCAUCUCUUAACUUAUCUUUUGGUAUAGGACUGACUGAUGGAGUGGUUAUCUCACCUUCAGUGGAGACUGUCAUACAUUUGGCUGGAAAUGCCAGGGUCGCUUCUUGAACCUCAACGGCCUGAAUGGUGGUAGCUAUGGCGUCAGGUGGCAACUCCUCAGAACAUUCUCUCAUCAGUGACUCUGCAUCCAGUGGCAUCCUUGACAAAGCAUCUGCGUCACUGAUCUCUUUACCUGGUCUGUACUUUAUUGUGAAGUGAAAAUCAGCCAGAUCUGCAACAAACCUGGAAGUGUUUGCAUUCAGUUUUGCAGUGGACAGAACAUACGUGAAUGGGUUGUUAUCACUAUACACAAUCCUGGAACUUUGUCAGUGACUGCCCAUUUUAAAGCUAGAAAUUCUCACUUGCCUGCAUGGUAGUGGUAGUUCUUCUCCGCUUGCUCUCAAUGAGUGGGAGCCAUAGGCAAUGACUCUCAGUUUGCCAUCUUGUUUUGGAUACAAUACUGCUCGCAAGCCUUGAUGUGAUGCGUCAGUGUGUACUAUGAACGGCUGAGUGAAAUCAGGGAACCCUAACACUGGUGGAUGGAGCAAACAGUCAAUCAGCUGUUCAAGUGCCUGCUGGUGCUGGUCGGUCCAAGUGAUUGGCUUGUCUGAGGGCACAACAUGAGUCAUUUUCUUUGCUUUUGGUUUUCUUGUGUUUUCAGGGACCUCAGUUGAAUCUGCUUUCAAGAGAUUGUGCUGGCAGCUUGCCUUUCUGGAAAAGUCUUUAAUCUACUGCCUGUAGUAGCAACGAUCAUCUCUGCAAAACGAUGUUUUCCAGCAACGCUUAUCUUGUGGAAUUCGCUUACUCCAGUGCACCUUAUCUCCAGGUUCAACUUGGUUACAUGCCCCCUUAUGUUCAGCCUGUCUGGUUUCACUUUUUUAAAACUGACUUCCACAUACCAUGUCAUUCCUAACUGGAUUUUCAUCUCCGCAACUUUGCACGAGCCAUCUCUAAAAUUAUAGGCGAACGUCAGCUCUUCUUAUCUCCUUUACCGGAGGGGUUGGAUUUGGAUAUGAACACUCGCUAUCAGCUUGCGCAUCUGACUGCUGACAUCACCAUGCUGAUAGAAGUCCUCCGCACCCCGCUUGCUAACUCAAAUUUUCCACCACCCCUUAGAUACAGGAUUCGCCCUGUGACAGUGUGCGUGGACACUGCCACUCAGACUGACCCGCUGCCUGCUGUGCCCCCCUCCAGCUAUCAAACUGACGAUGACAUGGCCUUCUCUGACCCAUGCUCUGAC